GUCUUGGUGGCGCAAUUGGUAAGCGAACCCGCCCGCAGCAUUCAGCAUCUCACAGUUACUAAUUCAAAUCUACAGGUUAGCGCGUACGACUGUUAAUCGUGAGGUUGAGAGUUCGAUCCUCUCCUAGGACG
Molecule: non-coding RNA, 131 nt
Organism: Aspergillus ellipticus CBS 707.79
Lineage: Eukaryota; Fungi; Ascomycota; Eurotiomycetes; Eurotiales; Aspergillaceae
Source: the annotation of a GenBank genome assembly